RNAcentral lists this ribosomal RNA (253 nucleotides) under uncultured bacterium. RNAcentral's name for it is "partial 16S ribosomal RNA". It matches the Rfam family "Bacterial small subunit ribosomal RNA", at positions 524 to 776 of the family's 1533-position model. The record is from RNAcentral.
UACGUAGGGUGCGAGCGUUAAUCGGAAUUACUGGGCGUAAAGCGUGCGCAGGCGGUUUCUUAAGCCAGAUGUGAAAGCCCCGGGCUUAACCUGGGAAUUGCGUUUGGAACUGGGAGACUAGAGUGUGGCAGAGGGAGGUAGAAUUCCACGUGUAGCAGUGAAAUGCGUAGAGAUGUGGAGGAAUACCGAUGGCGAAGGCAGCCUCCUGGGCCAACACUGACGCUCAUGCACGAAAGCCAGGGGAGCGAACGGG